Molecule: long non-coding RNA, 951 nt
Filed under: Olea europaea (common olive)
Lineage: Eukaryota; Viridiplantae; Streptophyta; Magnoliopsida; Lamiales; Oleaceae
Description: long non-coding RNA (OEUR_LNC006609)
Source: RNAcentral
UGGUCACUGAUCUCGAGGCCGAGGUCACAUGUGGUAUACCCGAGGCCCCUGCUCCGCCGUUGUCAGGGACAUGAGCUCGAACUCGAGCAUCAGCCAUAAAACCCCCCUGGGGUGCCGGUGUGGGUGAUGGAUGCGAAUUUCUUUGACUUAGCAGCUGAGUCAGUGUGGCGACCUGUUGUCUGAGCUCUUCAAAGGCUCCAGCAGUGACGACUGCCGGCUGGGGCUCUGGCACUUCUGAUGAUUCCUCUUGAGGAACAGGGAUAUCCUCAGGAGGGGGUUGGUUUGGAGCGGAUGAGCUUGCUGGUGGAAGACCUGAACGUGUGUUUACCAUGACUUUUGGUAGCGCUUCCCACAGACGGCGCCAAUGAUGCUACCAAAAAUCGUACCUGCUGAUUUUCCGAGCUUGAUGACUGGUGAGGAGCACGAACGUGAUCUUCCGAUACCUGAAACAAAGGCAACGAGGUGUGUUCUCGUCGCCCCUCCGAUGCUUAAGUCAGAAAGGGAAAUAUAUGCGUGAGGCUAUGUGCUGAAGAACAAUGAGAAACGUACCUGAAUAAUGGCCCAAGGUUCUGCUUUUAUAGGAGUAGGUAGUGUACUCCUAGUAGGAUUGUGUUGGUUGGAUGUUUUUAUCCAAGGGAAUUUCUAUUAUAAAGAAUGUCCUACUUGUAAUGGAAUUGUUUGACAAGUGGUGUUAGGGUUGAUGUAGAAUCCUUGGGUGUUUAGGUUUGUUAGUUAGGUACCCAGGUCUUAGGAGGUAUGUUGGUGGUGUAUGUCUCGAGGACUAUUCUCGAGGACAUUGAGGGAAUGUAAAUGUGUCCUCGAGGUAUCUCGAGGACUAAGGUAUCUCGAGGACUUAGAUGACCUCGAGGAUAGAAGAAGAGAAAUGAGGUGGGGUAUAGAUUGAGUCCUCGGGAUACACUCCUCGGGGUAUACCAAUAUUGGCAUAGUCAA